Molecule: ribosomal RNA, 549 nt
Filed under: Asteroidea sp. RCMBAR692
Lineage: Eukaryota; Metazoa; Echinodermata; Asteroidea
Description: partial 16S ribosomal RNA
Rfam family: Bacterial large subunit ribosomal RNA
Source: RNAcentral
CCUGCCCGGUGACUUAGUUAAACGGCCGCGGUAUUUUGACCGUGCAAAGGUAGCAUAAUCAUUUGCCUUUUAAAUGGGGGCUGGUAUGAAUGGCAAGACGGAAAUUAGACUGUCUCUUUCUUUUUUUUUGAAUUUGAUCUUUCUGUGAAGAAGCAGGAAUGUAGUCGUGGGACGAGAAGACCCUGUCGAGCUUUAAUGGGCCUGGGUAGGCGAUUGAAGUUGCUUACUUGCUAAUUUAUUCGUUGAUAAGGAUGAGUGGCAUUACUUGUGUUUGUGGCGACGUUUUAUGUAGGCCGUUUUGGUUGGGGCAACCGCGGAGAAUAUGUAUCCUCCGCUGGGUUCGAUAAGUAAAAUGAUGGUUUUCUUACUUGUUAUGUUUGUGUGAUCCGCUGUUUGGGCGAGCAAAAGAACAAGUUACCGCAGGGAUAACAGCGUAAUUCUUUUAGAGAGUUCAUAUUGAUAAGGGAGUUUGCGACCUCGAUGUUGGAUCGGGAUUUCCUGGGGGUGCAGCAGCUCCCGAGGGUUGGUCUGUUCGACCAUUAAAAUCCU